GCCGGGCAUGGUGGCUCAUGCCUGUAAUCCUAACACUUUGGGAGGCCGAGGUGGGUGGAUCACCUGAGGUCAGGAGUUCUACACCAGCCUGGCCAACAUGGUGAAACCCCAUCUCUC
This 117-nucleotide signal recognition particle RNA is filed under the name Pan paniscus (pygmy chimpanzee). RNAcentral's name for it is "Metazoan signal recognition particle RNA". It matches the Rfam family "Metazoan signal recognition particle RNA". Rfam says of the family: The signal recognition particle (SRP) is a universally conserved ribonucleoprotein. It is involved in the co-translational targeting of proteins to membranes. The eukaryotic SRP consists of a 300-nucleotide 7S RNA and six proteins: SRPs 72, 68, 54, 19, 14, and 9. The record is from Rfam by way of RNAcentral. Lineage: Eukaryota; Metazoa; Chordata; Mammalia; Primates; Hominidae. RNAcentral also lists the same sequence under 1 other name.